CUGGAUGGUAGUGUAUUGGGACUACCCAUGGCAGUCACGGGUAACGGAGAAUUAGGGUUCGAUUUCCGGGGGAGGGGAGCCUGAAGAAAACGGGCUACCCCCAUCCUAAGGAAGGCAGCAGGCGCCGUAAAUUACCCCAAAUCCUGAAUUCAGGGGAGGGUAGUUGACAAGAAAAUAACAACCCUGGGGGAUUUCAUGAUCUUACGGGGAUUGCAAAUGAGAAACAAAUUUAAAUCUCUUUAACGAGUAACAAUUGGGAGGGGCAAAGUCUGGUGCCCAGCAGCCGCGGUAAUUCCAGCUCCCAAUAGCGUAUAUUAAAGUUGUUGCAGUUAAAAAGCUCGUAGUUGAACUUCUGGCGGCGUGCCGGUAAGGCUUCGGUCUGCCGGAUUAGCGUCGUCAUCCGUCUGCAAACCUCGUUCGACCUUCACUGGUUCGGCGAGUUGAGUAGACAAUUUACUUUGAAAAAAUUAGAGUGUUUCAAGCAGGCAAUAGCCCGAAUACUUUAGCAUGGAAUAAUGGAAUAGGACUCUGUCCAUAUAUUUAAAUUGGCUGUGGGCAUGAGUAAUGAUUAAUAGGGACAGUUGAGGGCCAUUAGUAUUUAAUUGUCAGAGGUGAAAUUCUUGGAUUUAUUAAAGACUAACUAAUGCGAAAGCAUUUGCCUAAGGAUGUUUUCUAUUAAUCAAGAACGAAAGUUAGGGGAUCAAAGACGAUCAGAUACCGUC
RNAcentral lists this ribosomal RNA (722 nucleotides) under uncultured ciliate. RNAcentral describes it as "bacterial SSU rRNA". It matches the Rfam family "Eukaryotic small subunit ribosomal RNA", at positions 319 to 1019 of the family's 1831-position model. The record is from RNAcentral. Lineage: Eukaryota; Ciliophora.